UACGAAGGGGGCUAGCGUUGUUCGGAAUUACUGGGCGUAAAGCGCACGUAGGCGGGUCGUUAAGUUAGAGGUGAAAUCCCGGAGCUCAACUCCGGAACUGCCUUUGAUACUGGCGGCCUUGAGUUCGAGAGAGGUGAGUGGAAUUCCGAGUGUAGAGGUGAAAUUCGUAGAUAUUCGGAGGAACACCAGUGGCGAAGGCGGCUCACUGGCUCGAUACUGACGCUGAGGUGCGAAAGCAUGGGGAGCAAACAGG
Molecule: ribosomal RNA, 253 nt
Filed under: uncultured bacterium
Lineage: Bacteria
Description: partial 16S ribosomal RNA
Rfam family: Bacterial small subunit ribosomal RNA
Source: RNAcentral